This 1844-nucleotide long non-coding RNA is filed under the name Triticum aestivum (bread wheat). Its description in RNAcentral is "long non-coding RNA (TAES_LNC012307)". The record is from RNAcentral. Lineage: Eukaryota; Viridiplantae; Streptophyta; Magnoliopsida; Poales; Poaceae.
UGAGGUCGGAGGCGACGAUGCAGGGAGGCACGACGCCGGCCGGCGUCACCUCCUCGGCGCCCUUCUCCUUGCCGCCGCCAAAUAAUAGCUCUUCACUACAACGAGCUGCGCCGGAGGUGAGCGGGGAGGGCGACAGGAGGAGCACCGGCGGCGGCUCGAGGCGCGGGCGGACGGGGAGGUGCUCGGGCGGCCGGCACCAGCGUCGGGUGGGGAGAAGAGGGGGGGCGCGCCGGCCGCCCUGCUCUGGGCGAGAGGGAGAAGGCGGAGGCCGUCAGGGAGGGAACCAGAUCCUCUACCGUCCCCGAAGGCACGGCAUGCUUUCCAGCAAAACAAGCGCACUGGGCCUGUAGCCUACGAGCAGAACGGCCCAACCUAAUGGCCUGCUGUUUUGAUUGUUUUUUCUGUUUAUUUCCAGCAGCUUGACAACGUUUGUCUAGAAAAACAGCUUGAGAACGGGAGCAUCACACGGUAGUUGAAUAGCAAAGCAAGAUUUUUUAUGCGGAAAACAUCCAACCUUUUUUUUUUGGAAAAAUCAGAUCUAUUACAAAAGUUCAUCGAAAGUAUAAAUCAUCUUAGACAUAAUAAAAAUUAGAUCGAGAUUCCGAAAUCAUCGAACGAUCACUAUUCAUCAUUUGUCGUAUAAGGAAUAUUUUUUGCGAGAAUUUUUUUAAUUUAUUCAUCAACUGUCAAGGUAGUAUAAAGAAAACAAGAAGUAAAAAAUGCAUCCAAGUCCGUAGAGACCUAGCAGUGACUACAAACACUAGAGCGAGCCGAAGUCAUUAUGCUAAAAGCAUCUCCAACAGCCGCGCUAAAUAAGCGACGCGCCGCAAAUUUGUGCUUUUUAGCUCGCGCGCAAUCGAUAUCCGGGCUCCAGCGGACACGCAAUAAGCACGCGCGGCAUAUAGAGUUCAGCACGCGGUCCGAAUCGCCAUCACGCGCUGUUUUUUUGGUCCUCGUGGCUGCUUUUUAGCGCGCAGCGCGUUGGGCGGCUGUCGGAGAUGUUCUAAGGCUUCAUAAAACCAGCGCAUUAGAACAACAAUCGCCACUGUUGAAGAGAGGCAUAUAUCGGAAGGAUCCAACCUGUAUGAGCACCUACAAGAGACUGAGCUAGCAUGGCAUCUUGAGAUUGUACAAAGUCACCACAGGCAUAGCAUCUCGAUUUAAUUUAUCAACUUUUAUAAUAGAUCUGAUCUUUCCGAAAAAAAAUAGGUUGGAAGUUUCCCGUAGAAAAAGAAAUAUUGCUUUGCUGUUCACAACGAACGUGUUUUUUUUAGACAAUCAAAACAAAUGUGUGAUCCUUCCGUUCCCAACCUUUUUUUAGAGCCAAACGUUGUUAAGCUGCUGAAAAUAAACAAUCAAAAUAGCAGGCCCAUUAGCUCGGCCGUUCUGCUCGUAGGCUACAGCCCAGUGCGCUGUUUUCCUGGAGAGCAAGAAGGCACGGCACCUCUGACGUGCCUUCGGGCACGGUAGAAGAUCUGGUUCCGUCUGGAAGGGGCGGCUGGGUGGAGAGGGAGAGGAGACGGUUGAGGUGUUGCAGGAGAAGGCGGCGCUCGGGACCUUAUCCCUUCCCUCGUUGCUAUAGUAACGCUCGCACGAAUAAAAGGAGACGGAGGUGAGCGGGGAGGGCGACAGGAGGAGCACCGGCGGCGGCUCGAGGCGCGGGCGGACGGGGAGGUGCUCGGGCGGCCGGCACCAGCGUCGGGUAGGGAGAAGAGGGGGGGGCGCGCCGGCCGCCCUGCUCUGGGCAAGAGGGAGAAGGCGGAGGCCGUCAGGGAGGGGCAGUUGGGUGGAGAGGGAGAGGAGACGGUUGAGGUGUUGCAGGAGAAAGCGGCGCUCGGGACCUU